UACAGAGACUGCAAGCGUUGUUCGGAUUCACUGGGCGUAAAGGGUGCGCAGGUGGUCGGAUGUGUCGAAUGUGAAAGCUCGAGGCUCAACCUCGAAACUGCAUCCGAAACUAUCAGACUAGAGUGCUGGAGAGGGAAGUGGAAUUCACGGUGUAGCAGUGAAAUGCGUAGAUAUCGUGAGGAACACCAAUGGCGAAGGCAGCUUCCUAGACAGCAACUGACACUCAGGCACGAAAGCGUGGGGAGCAAAAGGG
This 253-nucleotide ribosomal RNA is filed under the name uncultured bacterium. RNAcentral's name for it is "partial 16S ribosomal RNA". It matches the Rfam family "Bacterial small subunit ribosomal RNA", at positions 524 to 776 of the family's 1533-position model. The record is from RNAcentral.